AUGGCAUACAGUAUUAGAUAAAAAGACCAAAACUCAAAAAACUUAACUUUGACCGCUGAACCAUGAAAAUGAGGUCAAGGUCACAUGACAUCUGCCCGCUAGACAUGUACACCUUACCAUCAUUCCAUACAACAAAUAUAGUAUACCUAUUGCAUAUAGUAUGAGAAAAACAGACCAAAACACAAAAAUUUAACUAUAACCACUGAACCAUGAAAAUGAGGUCAAGGUCAGAUGACACCUGCCAGUUGGACAUGUACACCUUACAGUACUUCCAUACACCGAAUAUACUAGCCCUAUUGCUUAUAGUAUCU
This 311-nucleotide long non-coding RNA is filed under the name Mytilus galloprovincialis (Mediterranean mussel). Lineage: Eukaryota; Metazoa; Mollusca; Bivalvia; Mytilida; Mytilidae. The record is from RNAcentral.